Molecule: ribosomal RNA, 499 nt
Filed under: uncultured bacterium
Lineage: Bacteria
Description: partial 16S ribosomal RNA
Rfam family: Bacterial small subunit ribosomal RNA
Source: RNAcentral
GACGAACGCUGGCGGCGUGCCUAAUACAUGCAAGUCGAGCGGACUGACUGGGAGCUUGCUCUUGUUCGGUCAGCGGCGGACGGGUGAGUAACACGUGGGCAACCUGCCCGCAAGACCGGGAUAACUCCGGGAAACCGGAGCUAAUACCGGAUAACACCGAAGACCGCAUGGUCUUUGGUUGAAAGGCGGCGCAAGCUGCCACUUGCGGAUGGGCCCGCGGCGCAUUAGCUAGUUGGUGAGGUAACGGCUCACCAAGGCGACGAUGCGUAGCCGGCCUGAGGGGGUGACCGGCCACACUGGGACUGGGACACGGCCCAGACUCCUACGGGAGGCAGCAGUAGGGAAUCUUCCGCAAUGGGCGAAAGCCUGACGGAGCGACGCCGCGUGAGCGAAGAAGGCCUUCGGGUCGUAAAGCUCUGUUGUGAGGGACGAAGGAGCGCCGCUUGAAGAAGGCGGCGCGGUGACGGUACCUCACGAGGAAGCCCCGGCUAACUACGUG